GACGAACGCUGGCGGCGUGCUUAACACAUGCAAGUCGAACGGAAAGGCCCUGCUUUUGUGGGGUGCUCGAGUGGCGAACGGGUGAGUAACACGUGAGUAACCUGCCCUUGACUUUGGGAUAACUUCAGGAAACUGGGGCUAAUACCGGAUAGGAGCUCCUGCUGCAUGGUGGGGGUUGGAAAGUUUCGGCGGUUGGGGAUGGACUCGCGGCUUAUCAGCUUGUUGGUGGGGUAGUGGCUUACCAAGGCUUUGACGGGUAGCCGGCCUGAGAGGGUGACCGGCCACAUUGGGACUGAGAUACGGCCCAGACUCCUACGGGAGGCAGCAGUGGGGAAUAUUGCGCAAUGGGCGGAAGCCUGAUGCAGCAACGCCGUGUGCGGGAUGACGGCCUUCGGGUUGUAAACCGCUUUCGCCUGUGACGAAGCGUGAGUGACGGUAAUGGGUAAAGAAGCACCGGCUAACUACGUG
This 468-nucleotide ribosomal RNA is filed under the name uncultured bacterium. RNAcentral describes it as "partial 16S ribosomal RNA". It matches the Rfam family "Bacterial small subunit ribosomal RNA", at positions 28 to 507 of the family's 1533-position model. The record is from RNAcentral.